AGUGAACGCUGGCGGUAGGCCUAACACAUGCAAGUCGAACGGCAGCACAGUAAGAGCUUGCUCUUACGGGUGGCGAGUGGCGGACGGGUGAGGAAUACAUCGGAAUCUACUUUUUCGUGGGGGAUAACGUAGGGAAACUUACGCUAAUACCGCAUACGACCUACGGGUGAAAGCAGGGGAUCUUCGGACCUUGCGCGAUUGAAUGAGCCGAUGUCGGAUUAGCCAGUUGGCGGGGUAAAGGCCCACCAAGGCGACGAUCCGUAGCUGGUCUGAGAGGAUGAUCAGCCACACUGGAACUGAGACACGGUCCAGACUCCUACGGGAGGCAGCAGUGGGGAAUAUUGGACAAUGGGCGCAAGCCUGAUCCAGCCAUACCGCGUGGGUGAAGAAGGCCUUCGGGUUGUAAAGCCCUUUUGUUGGGAAAGAAAAGCAGCAGGUUAAUACCCCGCUGUCCUGACGGUACCCAAAGAAUAAGCACCGGCUAACUUCGUG
RNAcentral lists this ribosomal RNA (492 nucleotides) under uncultured bacterium. RNAcentral describes it as "partial 16S ribosomal RNA". It matches the Rfam family "Bacterial small subunit ribosomal RNA", at positions 29 to 507 of the family's 1533-position model. The record is from RNAcentral.